RNAcentral lists this ribosomal RNA (460 nucleotides) under uncultured bacterium. RNAcentral's name for it is "partial 16S ribosomal RNA". It matches the Rfam family "Bacterial small subunit ribosomal RNA", at positions 338 to 795 of the family's 1533-position model. The record is from RNAcentral.
CCUACGGGAGGCAGCAGUGAGGAAUAUUGGUCAAUGGACGAGAGUCUGAACCAGCCAAGUAGCGUGAAGGAUGACUGCCCUAUGGGUUGUAAACUUCUUUUAUAUGGGAAUAAAAUGCUCCACGUUUGGGAUUUUGUAUGUACCAUAUGAAUAAGGAUCGGCUAACUCCGUGCCAGCAGCCGCGGUAAUACGGAGGAUCCGACCGUUAUCCGGAUUUAUUGGGUUUAAAGGGGGCGUAGGUGGUUUGUUAAGUGAGUUGUGAAAGUUUGCGGCUCAACCGUAAAAUUGCAGUUGAAACUGGCAGUCUAGAGUACAGUAGAGGUAGGCGGAAUUCGUGGUGUAGCGGUGAAAUGCUUAGAUAUCACGCAGAACUCCGAUUGCGAAGGCAGCUCACUGGACUGCAACUGACACUGAGGCUCGAAAGUGUGGGUAUCGAACAGGAUUAGAUACCCGAGUAGUC